UUGUUCUGGACGUGCUCUGCACGGCGGGUUCCCUGUGCUUCGGUGCAGCCAACCGUCGUGGGGCCGUCUUUUCACUGUUCCUCCCGACGCGCCUUUUUGGGCGGGGGAGGGUCGCUUGCUGUCGGUGGUCUGUGUGGUUUUACCCUCGUGUGGAACAAAAGUGGGUUUCAUGAUAGGCWUCUGCCUGCGUCGUCGGCACGUGCUGUCGUCGGCGUGGCUGAUUUGUUGGCAUAAUGCGUGUGCCGCUGUGGGCGCAGGAAUGGCUCCAGUACUGCACACGCGUUUUGUCGGCUCUCACGGAUGCGGUGCGCAUUGAGGAGUCCAUGCGUCUUCGGUCGCUGGACUGCUUCGGGAAGUCCGCCGCACGGAUUGUCGCUCCGUUGCUUUGCUUCGGGGCGCGGUACUGUGUCGGCGAGGUGGCUGCCCGGUUGAAAGAGCGAUUGUCCGGUCUCGUCGUGCGAAGGUGCUCCUGUCGAGGGCGCGCUGGAAGCGACUUGUCGGCUCUCGUUGAAGACGUGCUACCUGGUUGAUCCUGCCA
This 538-nucleotide unclassified non-coding RNA is filed under the name Schoenus minutulus. Its description in RNAcentral is "partial external transcribed spacer". The record is from RNAcentral. Lineage: Eukaryota; Viridiplantae; Streptophyta; Magnoliopsida; Poales; Cyperaceae.